GAAUGAAGAGGGGAAUGGAGCCUUUUUAAAGAGAAUUUGAGGGUUGGAUUCACACCAUUUGGUGGAAAUUGGAGGAGCCAAGUGGAGGCAUGGUGGGUGGGUGUGAGCUCCAUAUGGCAAGAGGUCGUUCAACGUGAUAACCGGCCACAUUGGAGUGGCAAGCGGCUGACAACAAGCUUGCUGGCAGUAGCUAGUGCAGGUGCGCCAUAUCGCGUGCUAUGCGCGCAUGGUGUGCAUUAUACACACGCAUGACAUGUGCUUAGGUAUCUUGUCUGAGUAGUGCACAGCGCGCAC
RNAcentral lists this long non-coding RNA (294 nucleotides) under Carica papaya (papaya). RNAcentral describes it as "long non-coding RNA (CPAP_LNC008745)". The record is from RNAcentral. Lineage: Eukaryota; Viridiplantae; Streptophyta; Magnoliopsida; Brassicales; Caricaceae.